UGACAGAGGAGAGUGAGCAC
RNAcentral lists this microRNA (20 nucleotides) under Vitis vinifera (wine grape). RNAcentral's name for it is "vvi-miR156e". Its record names the gene vvi-miR156e. The record is from miRBase by way of RNAcentral. Lineage: Eukaryota; Viridiplantae; Streptophyta; Magnoliopsida; Vitales; Vitaceae. RNAcentral also lists the same sequence under 1 other name.